This is a long non-coding RNA of Aquila chrysaetos chrysaetos, 642 nucleotides long. The record is from Ensembl. NCBI's taxonomy places the organism in Eukaryota, Metazoa, Chordata, Aves, Accipitriformes, Accipitridae.
GUGCGGCCCGGGGGGCUGCGAAGACACAGCCAGGGCGGCCGCCGCAGCCCCUCCUCGGCACCGGCACCGGCACCGGCACCGGCACCGGCACCGGCCUCCCAGCCUGCGCAUGCGCACGCAGCCUCGCCCACCGUCUCGGCAGACACCGCCUUUCCGGAAAGCGCCGCGGUGCCGCGCGCCUGCCCCGCCCCUGGCGCGCGGCCUAUUUAACGGGAUUCCCGCCCCGAGCUCGCUCCUUCCGUGCGCCCUGCGGCCCUGAGGAGGGGGGCGGGGCGGCACCGCACCGCAGCGGCCGCCCCAGGGUACCGAGCGGCCGCGCCCCGCCCGGGUUUCGGGAGGCAGCAAGUGAAGUUAAGAGAUGAGUUUGUUACUGGCUUUGGGAAUCUUCAAUCUGGACUCUGCCACACUGUUACCAUGCAAGCAGAAAGAUGUCACGUGAAUCCUGGAGCUACAGAAGUGCAAUUGAGAUCAAAUUACCUUGUCCACUGUCUUCGAGGCUUGUGUAUGCACACACAGCCAACAGUAGCCUCCAUGGAAGUGUGGGUGUUUAAGAAGCUUGAAAACAGCAGCCUGAAAUGUGGAGUUCUAAUGCACUUGGAAAUGCUUUCAUGGCCCUUCCUGCUCCUCAAAAAUACUGCUUGA